RNAcentral lists this non-coding RNA (21 nucleotides) under Arabidopsis thaliana (thale cress). Lineage: Eukaryota; Viridiplantae; Streptophyta; Magnoliopsida; Brassicales; Brassicaceae. The record is from RNAcentral.
UUCCAAAGGAUGUCUUGUGAA